Molecule: long non-coding RNA, 1745 nt
Organism: Papio anubis (olive baboon)
Lineage: Eukaryota; Metazoa; Chordata; Mammalia; Primates; Cercopithecidae
Source: Ensembl
AUGUUUCAUGAAUUGUCCUUUAUCCUCCAGGGUGGCUUCCACACGUAUCUGCAGCUAGAGUAUUUGGAGCGAGCUAAUGCUUUGGCCCGACAGAAAGAGGUUUCCUCCGUGCUGCCUGCUGGGCUGCGGAGGCUGUCAUAUGGGGGUCCCGUGCUGCGCAUUCUCUCUAUGCCUGACGACACCUUAAUCAUGAUCAGAGAAGAUGGAGCUAUUUAUUUCUGGUCCCUGCAGCUGAAGUUGAAAAGAAGAAAGCGGGUCUUUGACAAGGCCAGCAGCCAGAACCCCAGGUGGAUGACAGACGUCAUCAGCAUGCUAUACUGCAAUAAACUGAUCACUGGGACCAGAUGAGUGACGCUGCUCUUCAACCCAGAAAUGAACAAUUGGCCAAGAGUGGUGGCUCACGCCUGUAAUCCCAGCACUUUGGGAAGCCGAGGUAGGCAAAUCGUUUGAGCUCAGGAGUUUGAGACCAGCCUGGGCAACAUAGUGAAACCCCGUACCUACCAAAAAUACAAAAAAAUUACGCAACGUGGUGGUGCACACCUGUGGUCCCAGCUACCUGGAGGUUGGGGGCUGAGGCAGGAGAAUUGCUUGAACCCAGGAGGCAGAGGUUGCAGUGAGGCGAGACUGCGCCACUGCACUCCAGCCUGGGCGACACAGUGAGACUCCUCAAAUAAAAAGUAAAAUAAAGAGAAGUGAACAAUCACUGUGUUAUGGAAUCCAUUUUCAUGUAUGAAUUCACAUAAACAGAUACAUGUUUGUGGUAUGAAGAUAAAGUUAGGAGACCCUUUUCAGAAAACACUAAAACUCAUGUGUCAGUCGAAGCUACCAUGCCAGGUUAUCACUUUGGCCUAGUGCAGUGAUGUUGCCAUUGCCCCCAACACAGACCGAGGUUUUCUUUUGGGGAAUACUUCUGGGGCCAAGGUAUGGGCCAGAUUAGAAAAACAUUAGCCUUGGUACUUUUUAAUACACCUUAUUUUACAUUCAACAUAGUUUUCCUGUUUUAUUAGCCACAAAAUUUUGUCUGUAGUGCUCUGAACUGAUCCAAAACAUAAAAUCCUCAGUAGAAAGAUGAUCACACUCACGGCUGAAGCACCUCAGAAGAGUGAGUCUCAGGCUGGGAAUGGAGGCCCUGAGGUUUUAAUCAAUGGCAACAUCACGGAAACGAAUAGGCAGGGUCCUGGGCGCUGCUUGACUCUUCUCAGUAACAGGCCAGGUCAAAGGCGGUGUGGCUUGGUGGGAAGAAAAUUUGGAAAAUGUCAAAUCAACGUUGAAGCAAAAGCAAUUUCUAGGCCAUUGACCACUGCUCACAAAAUAAUAAUAAUAAUUUUUUUUAAAGAGCAAUUUCAACACCGUAGGAGGAUGAAUUAUGAGUGAGCGGGUCCAGGCUGCAAAACGAGGCCAUUUAGUGCUGGGGUCUGGGGGGGGGCGUGGCUACGAGAAGGGAGAGUGAUUGAGGUUCUCACAGCACUGCCCACCAGGACACCCCUGGGGCUCCUUGGAAGCUCAACUUCUUGCAAGGGUUUUCUCCUCUCCACCUUGUCUCUUCCAGAAGUCACCAGUUCCCUAGGAUUUAACCACUUGAAUGAAAAGUUGAAUACAACCUCAAACCAUCUAGGCUAUUAAAUAUAAUUAAUGUUAGUGUUACAUAUCAUAUGUAUACAUUUAUUAAUAUAUUUAAAUCAACAUAUAUUUAUCAAAAUAUAAAUAUCAUUAACAUAAUAAAUAUUAACUAUUCUAAAAGCAAC